Molecule: ribosomal RNA, 433 nt
Filed under: uncultured bacterium
Lineage: Bacteria
Description: partial 16S ribosomal RNA
Rfam family: Bacterial small subunit ribosomal RNA
Source: RNAcentral
AACGAACGCUGGCGGCAGGCCUAACACAUGCAAGUCGAGCGCGCCCUUCGGGGUGAGCGGCGGACGGGUGAGUAACGCGUGGGAACGUGCCCUUUUCUACGGAAUAGCCUCGGGAAACUGAGAGUAAUACCGUAUACGCCCUUUGGGGGAAAGAUUUAUCGGAAAAGGAUCGGCCCGCGUUGGAUUAGGUAGUUGGUGGGGUAAUGGCCUACCAAGCCGACGAUCCAUAGCUGGUUUGAGAGGAUGAUCAGCCACACUGGGACUGAGACACGGCCCAGACUCCUACGGGAGGCAGCAGUGGGGAAUCGUAGACAAUGGGGGCAACCCUGAUCUAGCCAUGCCGCGUGAGUGAUGAAGGCCUUAGGGUUGUAAAGCUCUUUCAGCUGGGAAGAUAAUGACGGUACCAGCAGAAGAAGCCCCGGCUAACUCCGUG